GGUAGCGCAAUCACUUGUCUUUUAAAUGAAGACCUGUAUGAAUGGCAUCACGAGGGCUUAGCUGUCUCCUCUUUCAAGUCAAUGAAAUUGAUCUGCCCGUGCAGAAGCGGACAUAAGAACAUAAGACGAGAAGACCCUAUGGGGCUUUAGACACCCGGCAGACCCUGUUAAGUAGCUGAACUAUCAGAUUAAAACAAAGCGGCCCCUGGCCUACAUGUCUUCGGUUGGGGCGACCACGGGGGAAAACAAAGCCCCCACGAGGAUUAAGGAAAACCUCCUUAUAACCACGAGCGACAGCUCUAAGUCUCAGAACUUCUGACCAAAAGGAUCCGACACCAGUCGAUCAACGGACCAAGUUACCCUAGGGAUA
Molecule: ribosomal RNA, 370 nt
Filed under: Esox lucius (northern pike)
Lineage: Eukaryota; Metazoa; Chordata; Actinopteri; Esociformes; Esocidae
Description: partial 16S ribosomal RNA
Rfam family: Bacterial large subunit ribosomal RNA
Source: RNAcentral